RNAcentral lists this ribosomal RNA (460 nucleotides) under uncultured Sebacina. RNAcentral describes it as "eukaryotic LSU rRNA". It matches the Rfam family "Eukaryotic large subunit ribosomal RNA", at positions 137 to 598 of the family's 3401-position model. Lineage: Eukaryota; Fungi; Basidiomycota; Agaricomycetes; Sebacinales; Sebacinaceae. The record is from RNAcentral.
UCCGAAUUGUAAUCUAGAGAAGUGUUUUCCGUGACGGACCGUGCAUAAGUCUCCUGGAAUGGAGCGUCAUAGAGGGUGAGAAUCCCGUAUUAUGGCAUGGACUCCCGUUGCUCUGUGAUACACUCUCGACGAGUCGAGUUGUUUGGGAAUGCAGCUCCAAAUGGGUGGUAAAUGCCAUCUAAAGCUAAAUAUUGGCGAGAGACCGAUAGCGAACAAGUACCGUGAGGGAAAGAUGAAAAGCACUUUGGAAAGAGAGUGAAACAGUACGUGAAAUUGUUGAAAGGGAAACGCUUGAAGUCAGUCGCGCCGUUCAGGAUUCAGCCUUGCUUCUGCUCGGUUUACUUCCUGUUGGGUGGGUCAACAUCAGUUUUGAUCGGAGGAGAAAGGCUUGGGGAAGGUAGCAGCAUUUAUGCUGUGUUAUAGCCCCUUGUUGUAUACUUCGAUUGGGACUGAGGACUGC